Molecule: ribosomal RNA, 514 nt
Filed under: uncultured bacterium
Lineage: Bacteria
Description: partial 16S ribosomal RNA
Rfam family: Bacterial small subunit ribosomal RNA
Source: RNAcentral
GAUGAACGCUGGCGGCGUGCCUAAUACAUGCAAGUUGAGCGAACAGAUGAGAAGCUUGCUUCUCUGGUGUUAGCGGCGGACGGGUGAGUAACACGUGGGUAACCUACCUAUAGGACUGGGAUAACUCCGGGAAACCGGGGCUAAUACCGGAUAAUAUUUUGAACCGCAUGGUUCAAUAGUGAAAGACGGUUUCGGCUGUCACUUAUAGAUGGACCCGCGCCGUAUUAGCUAGUUGGUAAGGUAACGGCUUACCAAGGCGACGAUACGUAGCCGACCUGAGAGGGUGAUCGGCCACCCUGGAACUGAGACACGGUCCAGACUCCUACGGGAGGCAGCAGUAGGGAAUCUUCCGCAAUGGGCGAAAGCCUGACGGAGCAACGCCGCGCGAGUGAUGAAGGUCUUCGAAUCGUAAAACUCUGUUGUUAGGGAAGAACAAAUUUGUUAGUAACUGAACAAGUCUUGACGGUACCUAACCAGAAAGCCACGGCUAACUACGUGCCAGCAGCCGCGGUAA